RNAcentral lists this unclassified non-coding RNA (330 nucleotides) under soil metagenome. RNAcentral's name for it is "partial contains 5.8S ribosomal RNA, internal transcribed spacer 2, and large subunit ribosomal RNA". The stretch from base 1 to 120 matches the Rfam family "5.8S ribosomal RNA", at positions 35 to 154 of the family's 154-position model. The record is from RNAcentral.
GAUGAAGAACGCAGUGAAAUGCGAUAAGUAAUGUGAAUUGCAGAAUUCAGUGAAUCAUCGAAUCUUUGAACGCACAUUGCGCCCCUUGGUACUCCGAGGGGCAUGCCUGUUCGAGCGUCAUUUCAACCCUCAAGCACAGCUUGGUCUUGGGCUUCGCCGCUAACCCGGCGGGUCUUAAAAUCAGUGGCGGUGCCGUCGGGCCCUGAGCGCAGUAAUCUCUCUCGCUAUAGGGUCCCGGCGGAUGCUGGCCAGUAACCCCCAAUUUUCUAUGGUUGACCUCGGAUCAGGUAGGGAUACCCGCUGAACUUAAGCAUAUCAAUAAGCGGAGGA